AUGAUGUGGUUUAAUUCGAUGAUACGCGAGGAACCUUACCUGGGCUUAAAUGGGGAGUGACAGCUGUCGAAAGAUGGUUUUCUUCGGACACUCUUCAAGGUGCUGCAUGGUUGUCGUCAGCUCGUGCCGUGAGGUGUCGGGUUAAGUCCCAUAACGAGCGCAACCCUUACCGUUAGUUACCAUCAGGUUAAGCUGGGGACUCUAGCGGGACUGCCACCGUAAGGUGAGAGGAAGUGGGGAUGACGUCAAAUCAGCACGGCCCUUAUGUCCAGGGCUACACACGUGUUACAAUGGCCAGUACAAAGGGCAGCUACCGGGUGACCGGAUGCUAAUCUCUAAAGCUGGUCUCAGUUCGGAUCGAAGUCUGCAACCCGACUUCGUGAAGCUGGAUUCGCUAGUAAUCGCGCAUCAGCCAUGGCGCGGUGAAUACGUUCCCGGGCCUU
This 443-nucleotide ribosomal RNA is filed under the name uncultured Sphingobacteriales bacterium. RNAcentral's name for it is "bacterial SSU rRNA". It matches the Rfam family "Bacterial small subunit ribosomal RNA", at positions 936 to 1382 of the family's 1533-position model. The record is from RNAcentral. Lineage: Bacteria; Pseudomonadati; Bacteroidota; Sphingobacteriia; Sphingobacteriales.